AUUGAACGCUGGCGGCAGGCUUAACACAUGCAAGUCGAGCGGAGUGAUGGUGCUUGCACUAUCACUUAGCGGCGGACGGGUGAGUAAUGCUUAGGAAUCUGCCUAUUAGUGGGGGACAACAUCUCGAAAGGGAUGCUAAUACCGCAUACGUCCUACGGGAGAAAGCAGGAGAUCACUUGUGACCUUGCGCUAAUAGAUGAGCCUAAGUCGGUUUAGCUAGUUGGUGGGGUAAAGGCCUACCAAGGCGACGAUCUGUAGCGGGUCUGAGAGGAUGAUCCGCCACACUGGGACUGAGAAACGGCCCAGACUCCUACGGGAGGCAGCAGUGGGGAAUAUUGGACAAUGGGGGGAACCCUGAUCCAGCCAUGCCGCGUGUGUGAAGAAGGCCUUAUGGUUGUAAAGCACUUUAAGCGAGGAGGAGGCUCUUUUGGUUAAUACCCAAGAUGAGUGGACGUUACUCGCAGAAUAAGCACCGGCUAACUCUAUGCCAGCCGCCGCCGUAA
RNAcentral lists this ribosomal RNA (503 nucleotides) under uncultured bacterium. Its description in RNAcentral is "partial 16S ribosomal RNA". It matches the Rfam family "Bacterial small subunit ribosomal RNA", at positions 30 to 523 of the family's 1533-position model. The record is from RNAcentral.